UGAGGAAUAUUGGUCAAUGGGCGAAAGCCUGAACCAGCCAAGUAGCUGUGCAGGAAUGACGGCCCUAUGGGUUGUAAACUGCUUUUAUGCGGGAAUAAAGUGCGGGACGUGUGGCGUUAUGCAAGUACCUUAUGAAUAAGGACCGGCUAAUUCCGUG
RNAcentral lists this ribosomal RNA (157 nucleotides) under uncultured bacterium. RNAcentral describes it as "partial 16S ribosomal RNA". It matches the Rfam family "Bacterial small subunit ribosomal RNA", at positions 355 to 507 of the family's 1533-position model. The record is from RNAcentral.